RNAcentral lists this ribosomal RNA (487 nucleotides) under uncultured bacterium. RNAcentral's name for it is "partial 16S ribosomal RNA". It matches the Rfam family "Bacterial small subunit ribosomal RNA", at positions 28 to 507 of the family's 1533-position model. The record is from RNAcentral.
GACGAACGCUGGCGGCGUGCUUAACACAUGCAAGUCGAACGGGCUCUGUCUGGCUGUGUGCUGGGUGGGGUUAGUGGCGAACGGGUGAGUAAUACGUGAGUAACCUGCCCUCUUCUUUGGGAUAAGCCUUGGAAACGGGGUCUAAUACUGGAUAUUCCUGUCUGGUCGCAUGGCUGGGUGGGGAAAGUUUUUUUCGGUGGGGGAUGGGCUCGCGGCCUAUCAGCUUGUUGGUGGGGUGAUGGCCUACCAAGGCGUCGACGGGUAGCCGGCCUGAGAGGGUGACCGGCCACACUGGGACUGAGAUACGGCCCAGACUCCUACGGGAGGCAGCAGUGGGGGAUAGUGCACAAUGGGCGCAAGCCUGAUGCAGCGACGCCGCGUGGGGGAUGACGGCUUUCGGGUUGUAAACCUCUUUCGUCGGGGGACAAGGCUCUGCUUGGUGGUGGGGUUGAGGGUACCCGGUGAAGAAGCGCCGGCUAACUACGUG